This 253-nucleotide ribosomal RNA is filed under the name uncultured bacterium. RNAcentral's name for it is "partial 16S ribosomal RNA". It matches the Rfam family "Bacterial small subunit ribosomal RNA", at positions 524 to 776 of the family's 1533-position model. The record is from RNAcentral.
UACAGAGACUGCAAGCGUUAUUCGGAUUCACUGGGCGUAAAGGGUGCGCAGGCGGCCAAGUGUGCGAGGCGUGAAAGCCUGGAGCUUAACUCCAGAAUUGCACCUCAAACUACAUGGCUAGAGCAUUGGAGAGGGUAGCGGAAUUCACGGUGUAGCAGUGAAAUGCGUAGAUAUCGUGAGGAACACCAGAGGCGAAGGCGGCUACCUGGACAAUUGCUGACGCUCAGGCACGAAAGCGUGGGGAGCAAAAGGG